UGUUUUGUGCGUGACUCUAAUU
RNAcentral lists this microRNA (22 nucleotides) under Arabidopsis lyrata. RNAcentral describes it as "aly-miR403b-5p". Its record names the gene aly-miR403a-5p. Lineage: Eukaryota; Viridiplantae; Streptophyta; Magnoliopsida; Brassicales; Brassicaceae. The record is from miRBase by way of RNAcentral.